ACGGAUGUAGCUCAAACGGAAGAGCGGCGGUCUCCAAAACCGCAGGUUGGGGGUUCGAGUCCCCCCGUCCGUGCCA
RNAcentral lists this transfer RNA (76 nucleotides) under Mycolicibacterium fortuitum. RNAcentral's name for it is "tRNA-Trp". It matches the Rfam family "tRNA". From Rfam's summary of the family: Transfer RNA (tRNA) molecules are approximately 80 nucleotides in length. Their secondary structure includes four short double-helical elements and three loops (D, anti-codon, and T loops). Lineage: Bacteria; Bacillati; Actinomycetota; Actinomycetes; Mycobacteriales; Mycobacteriaceae. The record is from RNAcentral.